GGUGAACGCUGGCGGCGUGCCUAAUACAUGCCAGUCGAGCGAACAGACGAGGAGCUUGCUCCUCUGACGUUAGCGGCGGACGGGUGAGUAACACGUGGAUAACCUACCUAUAAGACUGGGAUAACUUCGGGAAACCGGAGCUAAUACCGGAUAAUAUAUUGAACCGCAUGGUUCAAUAGUGAAAGACGGUUUUGCUGUCACUUAUAGAUAGAUCCGCGCCGCAUUAGCUAGUUGGUAAGGUAACGGCUUACCAAGGCGACGAUGCGUAGCCGACCUGAGAGGGUGAUCGGCCACACUGGAACUGAGACACGGUCCAGACUCCUACGGGAGGCAGCAGUAGGGAAUCUUCCGCAAUGGGCGAAAGCCUGACGGAGCAACGCCGCGUGAGUGAUGAAGGUCUUCGGAUCGUAAAACUCUGUUAUUAGGGAAGAACAAAUGUGUAAGUAACUAUGCACGUCUUGACGGUACCUAAUCAGAAAGCCACGGCUAACUACGUG
This 497-nucleotide ribosomal RNA is filed under the name uncultured bacterium. RNAcentral describes it as "partial 16S ribosomal RNA". It matches the Rfam family "Bacterial small subunit ribosomal RNA", at positions 28 to 507 of the family's 1533-position model. The record is from RNAcentral.